AGCCUCCAGAUUCCUUAUCAAUCAGACCCAAACUCUGCUCUGAGUGGUUAUUAAAGGAGGAAAAAUAAACUUGAAACUGGUUUAAAUUAUUUUGGGACACAUAAGCUACAAACAAAA
RNAcentral lists this small nucleolar RNA (117 nucleotides) under Echinops telfairi (small Madagascar hedgehog). RNAcentral describes it as "Small nucleolar RNA SNORA61 (ENSETEG00000024653.1)". Lineage: Eukaryota; Metazoa; Chordata; Mammalia; Afrosoricida; Tenrecidae. The record is from RNAcentral.